Molecule: ribosomal RNA, 161 nt
Filed under: Memecylon natalense
Lineage: Eukaryota; Viridiplantae; Streptophyta; Magnoliopsida; Myrtales; Melastomataceae
Description: 5.8S ribosomal RNA
Rfam family: 5.8S ribosomal RNA
About the family: 5.8S ribosomal RNA (5.8S rRNA) is a component of the large subunit of the eukaryotic ribosome. It is transcribed by RNA polymerase I as part of the 45S precursor that also contains 18S and 28S rRNA.
Source: RNAcentral
AAAAGGACUCUCGGCAACGGAUAUCUCGGCUCUUGCAUCGAUGAAGAACGUAGCGAAAUGCGAUACUUGGUGUGAAUUGCAGAAUCCCGUGAACCAUCGAGUCUUUGAACGCAAGUUGCGCCCAAAGCCAUUCGGUUGAGGGCACGCCUGCCUGGGUGUCG